Molecule: ribosomal RNA, 403 nt
Filed under: Verrucomicrobiota bacterium
Lineage: Bacteria; Pseudomonadati; Verrucomicrobiota
Description: Verrucomicrobia bacterium partial 16S ribosomal RNA
Rfam family: Bacterial small subunit ribosomal RNA
Source: RNAcentral
UGGGGAAUAUUGCACAAUGGAGGGAACUCUGAUGCAGCGACGCCGCGUGAACGAAGAAGGCUUUCGAGUCGUAAAGUUCUUUUGUAUGGGAAGAAAAUGACAGUACCAUACGAAUAAGGACCGGCUAAUUACGUGCCAGCAGCCGCGGUAAUACGUAAGGUCCGAGCGUUGUCCGGAAUCAUUGGGCGUAAAGGGUACGUAGGCGGAUAAGCAAGUUAGAAGUGAAAUCCUAUAGCUCAACUAUAGUAAGCUUUUAAAACUGCUCAUCUUGAGGUAUGGAAGGGAAAGUGGAAUUCCUAGUGUAGCGGUGAAAUGCGCAGAUAUUAGGAGGAAUACCGGUGGCGAAGGCGACUUUCUGGCCAUAAACUGACGCUGAGGUACGAAAGCGUGGGUAGCAAACAGG